This 460-nucleotide ribosomal RNA is filed under the name uncultured bacterium. RNAcentral describes it as "partial 16S ribosomal RNA". It matches the Rfam family "Bacterial small subunit ribosomal RNA", at positions 338 to 795 of the family's 1533-position model. The record is from RNAcentral.
CCUACGGGAGGCAGCAGUGAGGAAUAUUGGUCAAUGGACGCAAGUCUGAACCAGCCAUGCCGCGUGCGGGAAGACGGCUCUAUGAGUUGUAAACUGCUUUUAUAAGGGGGUAAAUUGUGAGACGUGUAUCGGUUUGUAAGUAUCUUACGAAUAAGGAUCGGCUAACUCCGUGCCAGCAGCCGCGGUAAUACGGAGGAUUCAAGCGUUAUCCGGAUUUAUUGGGGUUAAAGGGUGCGUAGGCGGCUCGAUAAGUUAGAGGUGAAAUCCCGGGGCUCAACUCCGGCACUGCCUCUGAUACUGUGGGGCUAGAGUUUAGUUGCGGUAGGCGGAAUGUAUGGUGGAGCGGUGAAAUGCAUAGAGAGCAUACAGAACACCGAUUGCGAAGGCAGCUUACCAAACUACGACUGACGUUGAGGCACGAAAGCGUGGGGAGCAAACAGGAUUAGAUACCCCGGUAGUC